GCCCCGGUAGCUCAGCAGGAUAGAGCGACAGUUUCCUAAACUGUAGGUCGAAGGUUCGAAUCCUUUCCGGGGUA
RNAcentral lists this transfer RNA (74 nucleotides) under Melioribacteraceae bacterium. RNAcentral's name for it is "tRNA-Arg". It matches the Rfam family "tRNA". Rfam says of the family: Transfer RNA (tRNA) molecules are approximately 80 nucleotides in length. Lineage: Bacteria; Pseudomonadati; Ignavibacteriota; Ignavibacteria; Ignavibacteriales; Melioribacteraceae. The record is from RNAcentral.